Molecule: ribosomal RNA, 489 nt
Filed under: uncultured bacterium
Lineage: Bacteria
Description: partial 16S ribosomal RNA
Rfam family: Bacterial small subunit ribosomal RNA
Source: RNAcentral
GACGAACGCUGGCGGCGUGCUUAACACAUGCCAGUCGAACGGAAAGGCCCCCACCUUGGUGGGGGUGCUCGAGUGGCGAACGGGUGAGUAACACGUGGGUGAUCUGCCCUGUACUUCGGGAUAAGCUUGGGAAACUGGGUCUAAUACCGGAUAGGACCAUGGUUUAGUGUCUCAUGGUGGAAAAAUUAUUGUUUUGGUGCAGGAUGAGCUCGCGGCCUAUCAGCUUGUUGGUGGGGUAAUGGCCUACCAAGGCGUCGACGGGUAGCCGGCCUGAGAGGGUGGACGGCCACAUGGGGACUGAGAUACGGUCGAGACGCCUACGGGAGGCAGCAGUGGGGAAUAUUGCACAAUGGGCGCAAGCCUGAUGCAGCGACGCCGCGUGGGGGAUGACGGCCUUCGGGUUGUAAACUCCUUUCGUUAGGGACGAAGCCACACCUUUUUUGGGUGUGGUGACGGUACCUUUGUUAAGAAGCACCGGCUAACUACGUG